CCUACGGGAGGCAGCAGUGGGGAAUAUUGGACAAUGGGCGAAAGCCUGAUCCAGCCAUGCCGCGUGUGUGAAGAAGGCCUUCGGGUUGUAAAGCACUUUCAGUGGGGAAGAAAGCCUUGGGGCUAAUACCCUCGAGGAAGGACAUCACCCACAGAAGAAGCACCGGCUAACUCCGUGCCAGCAGCCGCGGUAAUACGGAGGGUGCGAGCGUUAACCGGAAUUACUGGGCGUAAAGCGCGCGUAGGCGGUCUGAUAAGCCGGUUGUGAAAGCCCCGGGCUCAACCUGGGAACGGCAUCCGGAACUGUCAGGCUAGAGUGCAGGAGAGGAAGGUAGAAUUCCCGGUGUAGCGGUGAAAUGCGUAGAGAUCGGGAGGAAUACCAGUGGCGAAGGCGGCCUUCUGGACUGACACUGACGCUGAGGUGCGAAAGCGUGGGUAGCAAACAGGAUUAGAUACCCCGGUAGUC
This 465-nucleotide ribosomal RNA is filed under the name Vreelandella stevensii. RNAcentral's name for it is "partial 16S ribosomal RNA". It matches the Rfam family "Bacterial small subunit ribosomal RNA", at positions 338 to 795 of the family's 1533-position model. Lineage: Bacteria; Pseudomonadati; Pseudomonadota; Gammaproteobacteria; Oceanospirillales; Halomonadaceae. The record is from RNAcentral.